Molecule: RNA transcript, 2141 nt
Organism: Phalaenopsis equestris
Lineage: Eukaryota; Viridiplantae; Streptophyta; Magnoliopsida; Asparagales; Orchidaceae
Exons: 7
Source: RefSeq, a predicted model, not a curated record
UACACCAGUUUGAUCACAACAACAAUUAAGGAUCUCUCACUUGCUCUUUCUCUUUACACCAAGAUUCACCCAAGAGCAAGAACACCAAAGAAGAAGAAAAAUAUACAAGAGAAAGCCUGUUUCUCUUUUUCCACAAGUCACCGAGAAGAACACCUUCUUCUUCCCAAUCUUCUUCUUCCGUCUCCUGCUUCAACGCAAAUGCUUUCUCUGCGCGUGACUUCUCUCUCUUGCGAAUAGGAAAGCCGUGCGAUACAUUUUAUCGCCAACAGAAAGUGGGAACGGUUUUGCAAUCGAGCAGGAGCGGGAGGAGUCGCGACCUUUCGCGACAAAGGAGUAACGGGCAAAGCGACGCGAAGCUUCACGCGCGCGGGAGCAGACAGAGGUGUCGAUUCGCGAAAAAUGGAGGAGGCGGGAGCGGGAGAUCGCGAUUCGCGAUCGCAGGAGUGGAAGAGGGUCGUACCGGGCUCCACUUCUAACAGGCUUUAGCAAAUGACAUGAAAAUGAAGCAAAGUCUUGAUUUGCACGUUGAGAGAAAAGGAUGGCUAGCGACUCCUUCAUCACUACAAGAUUUUCUUAUGAACAUCCCUCAUAGUCUUCACAAUUGUUUGCAGUCAGGAUUGAAGAAAAAUAAACACAAGCUUGAUGCUUUAAACUUUUUUACUAUGCAAGAAAAAAAAUUGUUAAAUACAUGGGAUGUUGAUUUAGAGAGUCAAAUGCAGCCGUGGAGAGAGAACCCCUAUUGGGUUGAUCAAUCUCCAGAACUUAAGGUUAGUGUACCAGAAGGCUCUCUUUGCAACUUAAAUGUCAAAUGUAAUGUUGGGUUACCUCCAGAUGCAGUUUUUAACAUUGUUGUUGAUCCUGAAAAUAAAAGAGUUUUUAAGAACAUCAAGGAAGUUAUAUCCAGAAGGGUUUUGGUUGAUGAGGGUCUAAGGCAGGUGGUGGAGGUGGAACAGGCAGUAAUUUGGAGAUUUCUCUGGUGGUCUGGAACUAUGUCGAUUCAAGUCAUGGUAGAUCAGAACCGGAGAGAUCAUACUGUCAAAUUUAAGCUAGGUAAAUCAGGCUUUAUGAGACGGUUUGAAGGCAUUUGGAAAGUAGAACCAUUGUUUCUUGAUCAGGAACUCUGCUCUCCUCGUGAGCCUAAAUCUUGGGCUGAGUAUGACGCCUGCAGUGGAGGCAAGGGGAGAGUUGGAUCUAUGGUCAGCUUAGAUCAGUUGAUCCAACCAGCCCUAGUUCCACCGCCACCAAUCUCAUGGUAUCUGAGAGGUGUCACAGAACGAACAACAGAAAUGCUGAUACAUGACCUAUUCGCCGAGGCUAGCAGAUUAAGGGUAGGAGCAGCCAUGAAUUCAGUUCCAAGUCAAGGCCUUGAGGCAGUUUCUGAUAAGAAAACAGGAUUUGCAGUAAAUGGCUCUACUGACAUCAAAGAGAGAUGGCAGCAAAGGCAAAGACUUGGGGCAGAUUCUGAUGAGAAAAUUGGAUUUGCAGUAAAUGGUUUUAUUGACAUCAAAGAGAGAUGGCGCUGUAGAAGUAGAAGAAAGCUUAGAUAGAAGUAGCUGCAAUCUUUUAUUUGCUAAUAUGCCUUGGUGUUUUGACAUUAAAGAUCAAUGGCGGUAAUCCAGAGUAGCUGUUGAGUGCAACCAAACUAUACAGGUAUUUUGUUGUUUUUGCAGGUUGUAACAAGAAAGAGGAUGAACAGGAAUCGAAUUGGAGAGUGGAGGAAAAUUUGGGCCAUCGGGACAUAGGCGCUGGCUACUGGCGCUUAGAUGCCAGAACCCUCUUAAAUUGAGCAAAAAUCCCGAGAAGACAGAAAGUUAGUGUUGUGCACUGGGCGCCUAAGCGCUACUAUGGGUGCCUAGGCACUAUGAUAGCCGCACCAUGACACUGGUCUUGUGAUGAAAAUUUUUCAAGUGGCGCCUAAGCACCACAAUAUUGGCCCUUAGGCGUCAGACCAUGUUUUCAAACUGAGAGUUUGGUGCAUAGGCUCCCGAAACUGAAAUUGGCAGUUGGAGUAGUUCAGACUUUAGGAAGGGGAGGAAAUAUAAAAGCUUUGAAAACAAAUUUGGAGUGGCUUUUCACCAUUUUUUUCUUCUGUCAUUCUCGAGAGGAGAAUUAGAGGAGAAGGCCAAAGCAUUAGCAAAGAG